RNAcentral lists this ribosomal RNA (494 nucleotides) under uncultured bacterium. RNAcentral describes it as "bacterial SSU rRNA". It matches the Rfam family "Bacterial small subunit ribosomal RNA", at positions 29 to 518 of the family's 1533-position model. The record is from RNAcentral.
AUGAACGCUAGCGACAGGCCUAACACAUGCAAGUCAGGGGCAGCACAAGGAGCAAUCUGAGGUGGCGACCGGCGCACGGGUGAGUAACACGUAUGCAACCUGCCUGUAAGAGGGGAAUAACCCGUUGAAAGACGGACUAAUACCGCAUAAUACUAAAUUACUGCAUGGUAAUUUAUUUAAACAUUUAUGGCUUACAGAUGGGCAUGCGCAUGAUUAGCUAGUUGGAGAGGUAACGGCUCCCCAAGGCAACGAUCAUUAGGGGUUCUGAGAGGAAGGUCCCCCACACUGGUACUGAGACACGGACCAGACUCCUACGGGAGGCAGCAGUGAGGAAUAUUGGUCAAUGGACGAGAGUCUGAACCAGCCAAGUCGCGUGCAGGAAGAAUGUCCCUAUGGAUUGUAAACUGCUUUUGCAGGGGAAUAAAGUGCAUCACGUGUGAUGUUUUGUAUGUACUCUGCGAAUAAGGAUCGGCUAACUCCGUGCCAGCAGCUGC